GUGGCCCGCGGAAGGACGUUGGCGGUUCGUGGACUCGGUUCUGGCCGGGAAGUUCGAACCGAGGUCUGCAGAGCUUCGUGUCUGGAGCGGGCGGCGGGGUGCGGCAGUUUGGGCUCAGGGUCGCCGUGCCAUCGGCUCCGGUUUGGAAGUGGGGGUUGACCGACGAAUGAAAUUGUCACGUGUCGAAGGGACGAAGACUCUUAGCUCUAAGAUAAUUGAGACCUUUGGGAGAUAGAAAAGAAGAGCCGGCGAGCACAGACACGAGCUGAAGUGGGCAGCACGCGAGCCGCCUGGUCACGCACAUUUGUGCAGCCUCACCUGCAGCAGACGCCUCCUGGGAAGGCAGCCGCUCUCCCUCCCUCCGUCGCUAGAGGUUUUGGUGUGUGUUUCUGUGAAGAGCGGAGGUGGUGGACGAGAAGAAUGGAGGUGUUGGUGGAGAUGAGCACAACUCGUGAAGUGUCCGCAGGAAGCUGCCAGGUCGGGGCAGUGGUGUGCAGACGAAAAUUAAAACCCGGAAUUACGUGACAGCAGAGACGGAAACAGUCAGUAAGGAGCUGGAGAAGGACGCGAGAGACCCGGAAGGAAAGAAUGUCUAGGAGAGGGAAUUCCGGGACCCUCUUCCUUGAGGGUAGAAGAACGUAACUAGCAAGAAAAUGGGGAGACAUCUCUGUGGUGCAAAACAUAUAGGUGUGUAUUGUUUGAUGAAUUACACAGUCACUCAACAAACCAUUUUCUGAUACAAAGCAUUAUGGACAGAUGGAUUAUGGACAAGGACUAACCUUUGGCCCAAGACUUGAGAGCACAAUCCGGGAGAGGAGCACGCAGAGUUGCAGGGACGGGAUGCUUGUGUGUGCAACAGUUCAAAGCGGCAGUCAGAUGGGGCUUUAGUACAGGAGAAGAUGGGUUGUCGCUCUGAAAACCAGGAGAGAAGGGCUGACGCACAAGAGGGAGCGGGCGCGAGGGCGUGUGAGGAGGGGUGGGAGGAUUGGCAUGGGUAGAAAAUGUCAGGCAAGCUGCCAUGCUGAGGAGUGAGCUUAGGUGAGGCCAUGCUAGUGAUUGCACGGGCUUCUGCAGACCCGGGAGAGAGAGUCAGUCCUGCUGAGAUACGGCAGGAGGUGUGGAGAGGGGCACAGUUAACUGGGGGAAGAUUUCGGCACUGAACACCUUAAGACUUCCCAUCCUUGCUUUUCAGUGCUGGAGACGGAACUCAGCGUGAGCAUGUGGGGAAUGUUGAGAUGCACCCUUAGCCCUAAGGCUCACACCUCUUGAAAAAGCUGACAGCUUACGUUUAGAACCAAGACCACCUUUCUCUAAGAGACCAGAAAUAUCACACCUCACAGGCCCUUUCGCCUGCUUGCUCUGCACAAGCUUUCCUCCUGUUGAGGAAUCUGGCCCUGGCCCUCUGCUUAUCUUCUCCCAGCCUCUGGGUCUUCCUGGUCAGUCCCACAUGCCUCACUCUGUGCCAGCACACUGCCCUGUGACCUCAGCCUGUUUCUUGACUUGGUCUGAGCUCUGAUAUCCUUGCUUUUUAUGGCCUUUCCCUAUGGACGCUGUUUGCUCUCUCACACCCAGAAUACCUCAGGGUUAAGAGGGAGUAGAGUUCUUAUGCUGCAUUAUUGCCUUCAAAUCGUUUUCUCUCUUCUGUGGUCUCCAGAACUCAUCCCCCCUUUUCCAUUACUAAUAUAUAAUGGCCUUCCUCCCCUCCAUACACUGAAGAUUAGCUCUGAGUCUUUUUUUUUUUUUCUUCUUUCUCCUCUUUCUCAUCUUUAGGAUUUAACUAUCCAUGUGGGAUAACCUACUCUACAUCUGGUUUCUCAAUUCCUUGUUUUUUUCCCCAUUAUACCCCAGCUUUGUACGCUCCAUUUCUCAGAUUUACCAGGGUCUGAAUUUGCAUUGCUUCUGAAAUACUGGCCACACCCUCCCCGCUCUUUCACGUGCUCACCCCAUCGGCACACUUUGUUCACUGGGCACUGGCAGAACCUCGAACUGACUCUCGGUUAUUGACAAUCUUCUCUCCUCCCUGUCAUCUUCUUCUCGGGUUUAGAUUCUGUGACGGUAGUUAGAGUGACUCCUUCAUCACACAUAGCCUUGCUUCUAUGUGCAUUCUGUCUGAAGAGAUGCUGCUGCUUCUCAGAUUGGAAAGUCUUAGAAGAACAUUCUAGGAAUGCUCAACUCACCCUUUCUCCUUGGUAAAAAGCCUGCUUACACAAAGCACAUGUUUGUUGAUAAUCCCUCUAAUGGCUGGCUCUGUAAGAGUCCAGGACUGUACUGAAAAUUGGGGGGAGGGGAUAUGUUAGUUAUGGGGUUCAGUGUUAGGAAUCCCAUUUACCCACAAGAAAAGUAUAAGUGUUAAUAUAUCAACUUUAUGAAAGUUAUAAUUUGACUUCUACCUUAUUUCUUUGACUCAUUUCUCAGUUCUGAACUCCAGUAGAUAAGGAAACAUUGGUUUUCUUUAAGACCUUAAAUUGAUAUAUUUACCUCCCCUCUCUAUGUACUAUUAACAGAAACUUGUACAAUACUGAGUUUUCUUAUAUUUUGUUUUAUUUACUUGGUAAUUACUCUAGGAAUUCUGUCUCUAUCAUCAUGCAAGCUUACUUGUUUCUUUUCAUAGAUACAUGAUAUUUUAUUAUGUAUUUUUUCCUUCCAAAUGGUAUCCACUCCUUUAUUGCAAACAUUGUUGUUUUCUGUCAUUUGAUAACAAUACUACUGCAAUUAUUAUGAAUAAUAGUUGUGCUCUUUGGGCACAACUAUGUGAGCACAAGUAAGAAGUUUCACGUAUUUUCCCAGUCACACACCUUGACUGAGACGAUCACUGGUAUGUGGAAGUACCGUUUUAAUGUUUUAAACUACAAGUGAAUGUAGUUUCCCACGUUGGUCAGUCAUUUCAUACAUUCCUUCUCAAUUGAUAAUAUCAUCGCAUCUGGAGAACAGACUUCUUUGGGCAGGAAUGCCCUGCUCUUACCACUUACUUGUAAACAUGUGCCAGCUUUCUUUCCUCCCAUACAGUGAAGAGAUGAUCUUCACCCCUCCCAUGUUCUGCAUCUGUCUCCAUUCUCCACAGGACUCCAUCUUAACAGUUAUAUUCCAUCCUCCCUGUCUCAUGUUGUCAUUUUCCCUUCAUCCCCAACUAUGGCAUUUUCUACCACUGUAGUCGGAAGAUUUCCUGGUCCUGCCCGGCUCCUGCGGCCCUGUGGUCUCGCAGCCACUCAGACCCAAAUGAGCACACAGAGGCUUAUAUAGUUAUGAACUGUAUGGCCUAAUGGCUCAGGAUUCUCGCUAGCUAGCUCUUACAUCUUAAAUUAACCCAUUUUUAUAA
Molecule: long non-coding RNA, 3316 nt
Organism: Peromyscus maniculatus bairdii (prairie deer mouse)
Lineage: Eukaryota; Metazoa; Chordata; Mammalia; Rodentia; Cricetidae
Source: RefSeq, a predicted model, not a curated record